GACGAGCCACACGAACGUUAUUCGGAAUUACUGGGCUUAAAGGGUGCGUAGGCGGCGUGGAAAGUUGGGUGUGAAAUCCCUCGGCUUAACCGAGGAACUGCGCCCAAAACUACCAUGCUCGAGGAAGAUAGAGGUGAGCGGAACUUACGGUGGAGCGGUGAAAUGCGUUGAUAUCGUAAGGAACACCCGUGGCGAAAGCGGCUCACUGGGUCUUUUCUGACGCUGAUGCACGAAAGCUAGGGGAGCAAACGGG
RNAcentral lists this ribosomal RNA (253 nucleotides) under Thermoguttaceae bacterium. RNAcentral describes it as "partial 16S ribosomal RNA". It matches the Rfam family "Bacterial small subunit ribosomal RNA", at positions 524 to 776 of the family's 1533-position model. RNAcentral also lists the same sequence under 1 other name. The record is from RNAcentral. Lineage: Bacteria; Pseudomonadati; Planctomycetota; Planctomycetia; Pirellulales; Thermoguttaceae.